GAGUUUGAUCUUGGCUCAGGACGAACGCUGGCGGCGUGCCUAAAACAUGCAAGUCGAGCGAGAUCUUCGGAUCUAGCGGCGAACGGCGGAGUAACACAUGAACAACGUGCCUCGAAGUCUGGGAUAUACAGCCGAAAGGCUGGGCAAUACCGGAUGUGGAUGGAAGAUUGCAUGAUCUUUCAUUUGAAGGAGCAAUUCGCUUCGGGAGCGGUUCAUGACUCAUCAGCUAGUUGGUAGGGUAAAGGCCUACCAAGGCGGCGACGGGUAGGGGGUCUGAGAGGAUGAUCCCCCCGAGUGGGACUGAGACACGGCCCACACACCUACGGGAGGCAGCAGUGGGGAAUAUUGGACAAUGGGCGAAAGCCUGAUCCAGCAAUGCCGCGUGAGUGAUGAAGGCCCUAGGGUUGUAAAGCUCUUUUACCCGGGAUGAUAAUGACAGUACCGGGAGAAUAAGCACCGGCUAACUUCGUGCCAG
Molecule: ribosomal RNA, 475 nt
Filed under: uncultured Alphaproteobacteria bacterium
Lineage: Bacteria; Pseudomonadati; Pseudomonadota; Alphaproteobacteria
Description: bacterial SSU rRNA
Rfam family: Bacterial small subunit ribosomal RNA
Source: RNAcentral